CAGUGGGGAAGGAAAUCAACUUUGUGAAACAGAGAGAGACAAACUUCACCUGCAGGAUUUACCUGAUCUUUCUCAGGAUUAAACAACACCUGCUUUUAUUCUCUCGGAUUAAAAACCAUUUCUCUCCAUUGGCGCUAAUGACGUCAUGACGCACUACAAUUAAACCAAAUGGAUCCUGUGGUUCCAGCAUGGCGAAAUCAUGAGCAAAUAAAGUUAACUUCAGUGAAGUGUCACCCAUAGUGCAUGUUGAGAAUCCGACUAUUCACCUGACCGAGAUAACCAGACACCAUGGCUGCAGACGACCACUACCUGCACACCUCCACUCAGAUCUUUGAAAAUCUCAUGAUGGAGCCGCCCUGGGAGUUCACUCACUUCCCCGGGAUGUCCCAGACGACGUCUCUGAGGACAGGUGAGUCCCACCUGCUG
Notothenia coriiceps (black rockcod) is the source of this 426-nucleotide long non-coding RNA. RefSeq lists it as uncharacterized. The record is from RefSeq and is a predicted model, not a curated record. Lineage: Eukaryota; Metazoa; Chordata; Actinopteri; Perciformes; Nototheniidae. The transcript is spliced from 3 exons.